Molecule: ribosomal RNA, 442 nt
Filed under: uncultured bacterium
Lineage: Bacteria
Description: partial 16S ribosomal RNA
Rfam family: Bacterial small subunit ribosomal RNA
Source: RNAcentral
CCUACGGGUGGCAGCAGUGGGGAAUAUUGGGCAAUGGGCGAAAGCCUGACCCAGCAACGCCGCGUGAAGGAAGAAGGCUUUCGGGUUGUAAACUUCUUUUGACAGGGAAGAGCAGAAGAAGGUACCUGUCGAAUAAGCCACGGCUAACUACGUGCCAGCAGCCGAGGUAAUACGUAGGUGGCAAGCGUUGUCCGGGUUUACUGGGUGUAAAGGGCGUGUAGCCGGGCUGACAAGUCAGAUGUGAAAUCAGGGGGCUCAACCCCCGAACUGCAUUUGAAACUGUUGGUCUUGAGUAUCGGAGAGGCAGGCGGAAUUCCUGGUGUAGCGGUGAAAUGCGUAGAUAUCGGGAGGAACACUGGCGGCGAAGGCGGCUUACUGGACUGUAACUGACGUUGAGGCUCGAAGGCGUGGGGAGCGAACAGGAUUAGAUACCCCAGUAGUC